GCCUGCUUGGCUCAGUUGGCAGAGCGUUGCUCUCGUAAAGCAAAGGUCGGGUGUUCGAUUCACCCAGUAGGCA
Molecule: non-coding RNA, 73 nt
Organism: Rhizopus microsporus
Lineage: Eukaryota; Fungi; Mucoromycota; Mucoromycetes; Mucorales; Rhizopodaceae
Source: Rfam